This 783-nucleotide small RNA is filed under the name Pongo abelii (Sumatran orangutan). Its description in RNAcentral is "processed transcript". Lineage: Eukaryota; Metazoa; Chordata; Mammalia; Primates; Hominidae. The record is from RNAcentral.
CGCGGGCUGUGAACCAUGUACACCCGCAAUAGAGUGGUGAGCUCCGGGCUCGGCCCCUCCCCUGCCUCCCGCCCGACCCGGGAUCCCCAGGACCCUUAUGGGCGGCACGGGGAGCUGAGCCCCGUGGAAGACCAGAGACAGGGUUUGGAGGCAGCCCCGGAGAGCCCUUCGCGGGAGAGCGUCGUGCACGCGGGCCAGAGGCAGUAGAAGCAAGCCUACGUCCCAGCAAGACUCCCAGAUAAACUAGCCUCUUAACAACCAGAGUGGAGCUGAGAGAGUGAGGAGGACAAGUGCAUAUACCUUGAUAGCACCAAAUAUAAACCGGAGAAAUGAGAUACAAAGAAUUGCGGAACAGGAGCUGGCCAACCUGGAGAAGUGGAAGGAGCAGAACAGAGCUAAACCAGUUCACCUGGUGCCCAGACGGCUAGGUGGAAGCCAGUCAGAAACUGAAGUCAGACAGAAACAACAACUCCAGCUGAUGCAAUCUAAAUACCAGCAAAAGCUAAAAAGAGAAGAAUCUGUAAGAAUCAAGAAGGAAGCUGAAGAAGCUGAACUCCAAAAAAUGAAGGCAAUUCAGAGAGAGAAGAGCAAUAAACUGGAGGAGAAAAAAAGACUUCAAGAAAAUCUUAGAAGAGAAGCAUUUAGAGAGCAUCAGCAAUACAAAACUGCUGAGUUCUUGAGCAAACUGAACACAGAAUUGCCAGACAGAAGUGCCUGUCAAAGUGCUGUUUGUGGCCCACAAUCCUCAACAUGGAAACUUCCUGUCCUGCCUAGGGAUCACAG